RNAcentral lists this ribosomal RNA (301 nucleotides) under uncultured bacterium. RNAcentral's name for it is "partial 16S ribosomal RNA". It matches the Rfam family "Bacterial small subunit ribosomal RNA", at positions 509 to 807 of the family's 1533-position model. The record is from RNAcentral.
CAGUAGCCGCGGUAAUACGAAGGGUGCAAGCGUUACUCGGAAUUACUGGGCGUAAAGCGUGCGUAGGUGGUGGUUUAAGUCCGUUGUGAAAGCCCUGGGCUCAACCUGGGAAUUGCAGUGGAUACUGGGUCACUAGAGUGUGGUAGAGGAUAGUGGAAUUUCCGGUGUAGCGGUGAAAUGCGUAGAUAUAGGAAGGAACACCAGUGGCGAAGGCGACCACCUGGACUGAUACUGACACUGAGGUGCGAAAGCGUGGGGAGCAAACAGGAUUAGAGACCCCUGUAGUCCCUGUCUCUUAUAC